AUGAGAGAAGAUGGAAAGACGGUUUACGCUGUCACUUAUAGAUGGGCCCGCGGCGCAUUAGCUAGUUGGUGAGGUAAUGGCUCACCAAGGCGACGAUGCGUAGCCGACCUGAGAGGGUGAUCGGCCACACUGGGACUGAGACACGGCCCAGACUCCUACGGGAGGCAGCAGUAGGGAAUCUUCCGCAAUGGACGAAAGUCUGACGGAGCAACGCCGCGUGAACGAAGAAGGCCUUCGGGUCGUAAAGUUCUGUUGUUAGGGAAGAACAAGUACCAGAGUAACUGCUGGUACCUUGACGGUACCUAACCAGAAAGCCACGGCUAACUACGUGCCAGCAGCCGCGGUAAUACGUAGGUGGCAAGCGUUGUCCGGAAUUAUUGGGCGUAAAGCGCGCGCAGGUGGUUCCUUAAGUCUGAUGUGAAAGCCCACGGCUCAACCGUGGAGGGUCAUUGGAAACUGGGGAACUUGAGUGCAGAAGAGGAAAGUGGAAUUCCAAGUGU
This 500-nucleotide ribosomal RNA is filed under the name bacterium. RNAcentral's name for it is "bacterial SSU rRNA". It matches the Rfam family "Bacterial small subunit ribosomal RNA", at positions 189 to 676 of the family's 1533-position model. The record is from RNAcentral.